Delphinapterus leucas (beluga whale) is the source of this 2115-nucleotide non-coding RNA. Lineage: Eukaryota; Metazoa; Chordata; Mammalia; Artiodactyla; Monodontidae. The record is from RefSeq and is a predicted model, not a curated record.
CCCAACGUAGCCAAAAAGAAAAAAAAAAGAAUGCCUUUGGUGGGCUUAUUAGUAGAUGACACAGCUGAGGAAAGAAUCUCUGAGCUAGAGAAUAUAUCAAUAGAAUCCUUGAAAAGCAAAGACAGCAAAGAUUGAAGAAAGAAACCCAAACAAACCAAUAGCCAAGGUCUGUGGGACAACUGCAAAAGGUAUAACAUACAGUUGACUCUGAACAACAUGGGUUUGAACUAUACUGGUUCACUUAUACACAGAUUUCUUUCAAUAAUAAAUACUAUAGUACUAUGUGAUCCAAGUUUGGUUGAAUCUGUAGAUGUGGAACUGCAGAUACAGAGGAACCAUGGAUAUGGAGGAAUUGUGUGUAUGGAGGGCCAACUAUAAUUAUAUAUGGAUUUUCGACUGUGUGGAGGGUUGGUGCCCCUAACCUGUGUUCAAGAUUCAACUGUUAACACACAAUGAGAAUACCAGGAGAGAGAAAGUAACAGAAGAAGUAUUGGAAACAAUAAUGACUGAGAAUUUCUUCAAAUUAAUGCCAGACACCAAACCGCAGAUCAAGGGAGCUUAGAGAACUCCAAGCAGGAUUAAAAAAAAAAAACAAAAAACAAACUGUAUUGAGGCAUAUAAUAUUCAAUCUACAGAAAGUCAAAGAUAAGGAAAAAGUCCUGAAAGAAGCUAGAGGGAAGAAAACACCUUACCUAUAGAGUAACAAAGAUAAGAAUUACAUCUGACUUCUCCUCAGAAACUGUGCAAGCAAAAAGACUGUGGAGUGUUAAAAAAAAAAAACCAGCAACCUAGAAUUCUGUGAAAUUAUCUUUCAAAAGUGAAGGAAACACAAAUAUUUUCCUGGGCAAGUGAAAGUUGGAAUUUGUCAUCAGUAGAACUUCCUUGCAAGAAAUGUUAAAAGAAGUUCUUCAGAGAGAAGGAAAAUAAUAUAUGUCAGAAACUUGGAUCUGUAUGAAGUGAUGAAGAACAUCAAAGAAGGAAUAAGUGAAGGAACAGUUGCAUGCAGUUCUGGAAGCUGAGCAGUCCCACAGUCUGCCUCUGCAAGCUGGAGAACGAGGAAAGACAGCAGUAUAAUGCAGUCCAAGUCUGAAGGCCUGAGAACUAGGAGCUCUGAUGGUCGAGGGCAGGAAAAGAUGGACAUCCCAGCUCAAGAAGAGAGAGAGAAUUCUGCCAUCUUUUCCUCUUUUGUUCCAUAUGGCCCCAAACAGAUUGGAUGAUGUCUGCCCAUAUUGAUUUUCAAGUCUUCUGGUGCUUACUGCAAGAAUGAUGCCUAACUAAUACACCUUGCAUACCUAUCUUUGUCACUGAAGUCUUCUCAAACCCUUUAUGGAACAAAGCUGGAUAUGAUUAAAUAAAGUCUGCAUCUAGUUUCUGAUAUGUGAACAAGAUCAUCUUCAAAAUUAAGGAUUUCCAUGGAAAAGAAUAUUAGAUCCUCUGUCAACUAUCAGACUUCUCCUUCUGCACAGCCCUCUCUUGGUGCUUUUGCUUUUCAAAGUUUUCAGUAGCCGGGCACUUACUCCACUACGGCGGGAUGUCAUAGCCACCACUGGAGACCACUGGUUGGUUCUGGGGUUGUAUCUCUCAGCACUGCUAAGCUCUGUAGUGUCAUCUCUACCUCCUACGGCAUAGAUCAUAUCCUGAUACACUGCACAGCCUAGGUGUUUCCUCCGGGUCCCCAUAGGGGCUAUGGUGUGCCAUCUGUUUUCCUGAGGAUUAUAACGCUCCACUGCAGGGAAAAGAAAAACCAGGGACUCUCCUAAGAAAAAUGUAUUGGUUUGGGGAAACUAAACUGACUUCGGAAGGAACUAACCUGUGUUGAGUGGAGAUGUCCCAUCAGAGCCACCUACAGCGUAUAAGAACCCUCCUAACACAGCCACAGCCACGCCUAGUCUCCUAGUACUCAUAGAAGCCACCCGAGUCCACUUGUUCUCCUUCGGAUCAUACCUGCGGUAAGAGAAACCAAAGACUGCACGCAUGUUUUUAUUAAGUGAAGCCUUUUCCAUAAGGUAUGAAAUUAUGCUAAAGAUAUGUUAGAUACAUAGAUUUGCUAAGGUCAAAUGUACAGAGAGAAUCUAACAUAUUUUUACAUAGUUAUCAGUACUCUGACUUAUGAAC